RNAcentral lists this unclassified non-coding RNA (374 nucleotides) under soil metagenome. RNAcentral describes it as "partial contains 5.8S ribosomal RNA, internal transcribed spacer 2, and large subunit ribosomal RNA". The stretch from base 1 to 120 matches the Rfam family "5.8S ribosomal RNA", at positions 35 to 154 of the family's 154-position model. The record is from RNAcentral.
GAUGAAGAACGUAGUGAAAUGCGAUAAGUAAUGUGAAUUGCAGAAUUCCGUGAAUCAUCGAAUCUUUGAACGCAAAUUGCACUCUUUGGUAUUCCGAAGAGUAUGCCUGUUUGAGGGUCAGUCAAAUAAAAAUCGGGGUUGUUGCUGCUGCCUUUUGUGGUGACGCUUCGGAACUGGGUCGUCUUUGCCUUCGGGUUAAGUGACCUAAAAUUUCGGAUGAUUUUUCGAACGUAUUUAAAUUUUUUUACGUACGUUUGUGAUAUCGAAUAUUAGAUGCGGUCAUUUUCAUGACUCGCGUCUAUAAUUAUUUCAUCAAAUGACCUCAAAUCAGGUAAGAGUACCCGCUGAACUUAAGCAUAUCAAUAAGCGGAGGA